UUAAGCGACUAAGCGUACACGGUGGAUGCCCUGGCAGUCAGAGGCGAUGAAGGACGUGCUAAUCUGCGAUAAGCGUCGGUAAGGUGAUAUGAACCGUUAUAACCGGCGAUUUCCGAAUGGGGAAACCCAGUGUGUUUCGACACACUAUCAUUAACUGAAUCCAUAGGUUAAUGAGGCGAACCGGGGGAACUGAAACAUCUAAGUACCCCGAGGAAAAGAAAUCAACCGAGAUUCCCCCAGUAGCGGCGAGCGAACGGGGAGCAGCCCAGAGCCUGAAUCAGUGUGUGUGUUAGUGGAAGCGUCUGGAAAGGCGCGCGAUACAGGGUGACAGCCCCGUACACAAAAAUGCACAUAUUGUGAGCUCGAUGAGUAGGGCGGGACACGUGGUAUCCUGUCUGAAUAUGGGGGGACCAUCCUCCAAGGCUAAAUACUCCUGACUGACCGAUAGUGAACCAGUACCGUGAGGGAAAGGCGAAAAGAACCCCGGCGAGGGGAGUGAAAAAGAACCUGAAACCGUGUACGUACAAGCAGUGGGAGCACGCUUAGGCGUGUGACUGCGUACCUUUUGUAUAAUGGGUCAGCGACUUAUAUUCUGUAGCAAGGUUAACCGAAUAGGGGAGCCGAAGGGAAACCGAGUCUUAACUGGGCGUUAAGUUGCAGGGUAUAGACCCGAAACCCGGUGAUCUAGCCAUGGGCAGGUUGAAGGUUGGGUAACACUAACUGGAGGACCGAACCGACUAAUGUUGAAAAAUUAGCGGAUGACUUGUGGCUGGGGGUGAAAGGCCAAUCAAACCGGGAGAUAGCUGGUUCUCCCCGAAAGCUAUUUAGGUAGCGCCUCGUGAAUUCAUCUCCGGGGGUAGAGCACUGUUUCGGCAAGGGGGUCAUCCCGACUUACCAACCCGAUGCAAACUGCGAAUACCGGAGAAUGUUAUCACGGGAGACACACGGCGGGUGCUAACGUCCGUCGUGAAGAGGGAAACAACCCAGACCGCCAGCUAAGGUCCCAAAGUCAUGGUUAAGUGGGAAACGAUGUGGGAAGGCCCAGACAGCCAGGAUGUUGGCUUAGAAGCAGCCAUCAUUUAAAGAAAGCGUAAUAGCUCACUGGUCGAGUCGGCCUGCGCGGAAGAUGUAACGGGGCUAAACCAUGCACCGAAGCUGCGGCAGCGACACUGUGUGUUGUUGGGUAGGGGAGCGUUCUGUAAGCCUGUGAAGGUGUACUGUGAGGUAUGCUGGAGGUAUCAGAAGUGCGAAUGCUGACAUAAGUAACGAUAAAGCGGGUGAAAAGCCCGCUCGCCGGAAGACCAAGGGUUCCUGUCCAACGUUAAUCGGGGCAGGGUGAGUCGACCCCUAAGGCGAGGCCGAAAGGCGUAGUCGAUGGGAAACAGGUUAAUAUUCCUGUACUUGGUGUUACUGCGAAGGGGGGACGGAGAAGGCUAUGUUGGCCGGGCGACGGUUGUCCCGGUUUAAGCGUGUAGGCUGGUUUUCCAGGCAAAUCCGGAAAAUCAAGGCUGAGGCGUGAUGACGAGGCACUACGGUGCUGAAGCAACAAAUGCCCUGCUUCCAGGAAAAGCCUCUAAGCAUCAGGUAACAUCAAAUCGUACCCCAAACCGACACAGGUGGUCAGGUAGAGAAUACCAAGGCGCUUGAGAGAACUCGGGUGAAGGAACUAGGCAAAAUGGUGCCGUAACUUCGGGAGAAGGCACGCUGAUAUGUAGGUGAAGCGACUUGCUCGUGGAGCUGAAAUCAGUCGAAGAUACCAGCUGGCUGCAACUGUUUAUUAAAAACACAGCACUGUGCAAACACGAAAGUGGACGUAUACGGUGUGACGCCUGCCCGGUGCCGGAAGGUUAAUUGAUGGGGUUAGCGGUAACGCGAAGCUCUUGAUCGAAGCCCCGGUAAACGGCGGCCGUAACUAUAACGGUCCUAAGGUAGCGAAAUUCCUUGUCGGGUAAGUUCCGACCUGCACGAAUGGCGUAAUGAUGGCCAGGCUGUCUCCACCCGAGACUCAGUGAAAUUGAACUCGCUGUGAAGAUGCAGUGUACCCGCGGCAAGACGGAAAGACCCCGUGAACCUUUACUAUAGCUUGACACUGAACAUUGAGCCUUGAUGUGUAGGAUAGGUGGGAGGCUUUGAAGUGUGGACGCCAGUCUGCAUGGAGCCGACCUUGAAAUACCACCCUUUAAUGUUUGAUGUUCUAACGUGGACCCGUGAUCCGGGUUGCGGACAGUGUCUGGUGGGUAGUUUGACUGGGGCGGUCUCCUCCUAAAGAGUAACGGAGGAGCACGAAGGUUGGCUAAUCCUGGUCGGACAUCAGGAGGUUAGUGCAAUGGCAUAAGCCAGCUUGACUGCGAGCGUGACGGCGCGAGCAGGUGCGAAAGCAGGUCAUAGUGAUCCGGUGGUUCUGAAUGGAAGGGCCAUCGCUCAACGGAUAAAAGGUACUCCGGGGAUAACAGGCUGAUACCGCCCAAGAGUUCAUAUCGACGGCGGUGUUUGGCACCUCGAUGUCGGCUCAUCACAUCCUGGGGCUGAAGUAGGUCCCAAGGGUAUGGCUGUUCGCCAUUUAAAGUGGUACGCGAGCUGGGUUUAGAACGUCGUGAGACAGUUCGGUCCCUAUCUGCCGUGGGCGCUGGAGAACUGAGGGGGGCUGCUCCUAGUACGAGAGGACCGGAGUGGACGCAUCACUGGUGUUCGGGUUGUCAUGCCAAUGGCACUGCCCGGUAGCUAAAUGCGGAAGAGAUAAGUGCUGAAAGCAUCUAAGCACGAAACUUGCCCCGAGAUGAGUUCUCCCUGACUCCUUGAGAGUCCUGAAGGAACGUUGAAGACGACGACGUUGAUAGGCCGGGUGUGUAAGCGCAGCGAUGCGUUGAGCUAACCGGUACUAAUGAACCGUGAGGCUUAACCUU
Molecule: ribosomal RNA, 2903 nt
Filed under: Escherichia coli 2-316-03_S3_C1
Lineage: Bacteria; Pseudomonadati; Pseudomonadota; Gammaproteobacteria; Enterobacterales; Enterobacteriaceae
Description: bacterial LSU rRNA
Rfam family: Bacterial large subunit ribosomal RNA
Source: RNAcentral